Molecule: ribosomal RNA, 406 nt
Filed under: uncultured bacterium
Lineage: Bacteria
Description: partial 16S ribosomal RNA
Rfam family: Bacterial small subunit ribosomal RNA
Source: RNAcentral
AUUGAACGCUGGCGGCAGGCCUAACACAUGCAAGUCGAACGAGUGGCGGACGGGUGAGUAACGUCUGGGAAACUGCCAGAUGGACGGGGAUAACUACUGGAAAAGGUAGCUAAAACCGCAUACCAUCUGAUGUUCCCAGAUGGGAUCAGCUAGUAGGUUGGGGGACGGCUCACCUAGGCGACGAUCCCUCGCUGGUCUGAGAGGAUGACCAGCCACACUGGAACUGAGCCCCGGUCCAGACUCCUACGGGAGGCAGCAUUGGGGAUUAUUGCACAAUGGGCGCAAGCCUGAUGCAGCCAUGCCGCGUGUAUGAAGAAGGCCUUCGGGUUGUAAAGUACUUUCAGCGAGGAGGCGUUACUCGCAGAAUAAGCACCGGCUAACUCCGUGCCAGCAGCCGCGGUAAUAC